Molecule: ribosomal RNA, 274 nt
Filed under: uncultured bacterium
Lineage: Bacteria
Description: partial 16S ribosomal RNA
Rfam family: Bacterial small subunit ribosomal RNA
Source: RNAcentral
AUACGGAGGGUGCAAGCGUUAAGCGGAAUUACUGGGCGUAAAGCGCUCGUAGGCGGCUUGUAAAGUCGGAUGUGAAAGCCCCGGGCUCAACCUGGGAACUGCAUUCGAUACUGGCAGGCUAGAGUAUAGUAGAGGCAAGUGGAAUUCCGGGUGUAGCGGUGAAAUGCGUAGAUAUCCGGAGGAACAUCAGUGGCGAAGGCGACUUGCUGGACUAAUACUGACGCUAAGGAGCGAAAGCGUGGGGAGCAAACGGGAUUAGAUACCCCAGUAGUCC